This is a long non-coding RNA of Oncorhynchus tshawytscha (Chinook salmon), 1377 nucleotides long. NCBI's taxonomy places the organism in Eukaryota, Metazoa, Chordata, Actinopteri, Salmoniformes, Salmonidae. The record is from Ensembl.
AAGAUUUGGAAGCUCUUCAAAUAUAGACUCCAAUUUCUGCAAAUAUAUUUUCUCUGCAAAAGUAUGGAGGGGGAAGGAAGAGAAAGAAACAGCAUGAGGAAAAUUAAAGGAGGUUCGGGCCUGACAAAAAGAUGUAGAUUCUUUAGAGGAGACAGCAUACAUAUUUGAAAGGCGGGUAGUUGGUGACCCCAUCUCCCCCACCUUAAAACUCAGUCCAUUCACUCUGUCCCAUUAGUAUUAUAAUGCCACUGGGAAUAUGUAUGGACUGCCCGGAGAAAGAGGUGUGCUGCCCUGUGCCAGAGGGAAGGAGAAAAGAAGAGUGAGGAGAGGGAGGGGGAGAAGAAAGACCAAACUUGGAAUAUGGGAAACCCCCAGGUCUGUAUAAUGUAUAGAUUUCCUUGUCCCCCCACCCUCUGAUUUCCUUCCCAUCUUAUUUCAUGCCUAAACACAACUAUCAGUCCCAAACUUGCAGAAGAGAGAAGGGAGCGGGAUAACCCAAACACAGGAGCCCUGCAGACCUGCAUACAGCAGCUGCAAUGUUCAGCUAGGCCUUUUGACUUUCUUGAUAGCAUGGUCUGUCUGGAAGUCAGUCAGCAAUGGGUCAGGCCCAGCACGGGGCUCUUAGACAAGAUAGAGACAGAGAAUCACUGGAAUUGACAUAGGAGAUAAUAAGUUAUGUGAUUAAAUGUAUUAUGUAAAAUGAGAUCCAUAUUGAGGUUAUUGACCCAGAUAGAGGUUAUAGGUUUUAUAAAAACAUCUAUGUCUGUAGACAGGUUAUCUAUAGUGCACCCUAUGGCAGGACAGGAUAAAUUGUAGGUGGUCCAAAUAUACGAGUAACUGCCUUAAGUCCAAUUACUUUCCAUUCAACCCCUGCCGGUCAAACAGACAUUGAAAUACCUUACAAUCUUUUCCAACUCAUAUACUUUCCUCAAAAGAUAAUCAGUGCAGCAGGUAGCCUAGUGGUUAGGGCGUUGGACUAGUAACCAAAAGGUUGCAAGAUUGAAUCCCCAAGCUGACAAGGUAAAAAUCUGUCAUUCUGCCCCUGAACAAGGCAGUUCAUUCACCCACUGUUCCUAGGCAGUCAUUGAAAAUAAGAAUUUGUUCUUAACUGACUUGCCUGGUUAAAUACAUUUUAAAAAGACUGAACCAUAAUUAGAAAAGUUAUAGAGGAGGUUGUCUUUCUGUGUUAUGUGGAUUUAACAGAAAAUGGUGGUGUUUAGACAGACGGGGAGGCCCCCGCAUCGUCGUGUUGGCAUUGGCCCUCGUGGUCCAACCAGGACUAACUCAUGGCAGGCCCAGGAGUGUGAGUCUGUGUCUUGGACAGAGAAACACACAUGCACACACAGACAGAGAGACACACACACACAUGGGAUGGGG